GACGAACGCUGGCGGCGUGCUUAACACAUGCAAGUCGAACGGAAAGGCCCUGCUUUUGUGGGGUGCUCGAGUGGCGAACGGGUGAGUAACACGUGAGUAACCUGCCCUUGACUUUGGGAUAACUUCAGGAAACUGGGGCUAAUACCGGAUAGGAGCUCCUGCUGCAUGGUGGGGGUUGGAAAGUUUCGGCGGUUGGGGAUGGACUCGCGGCUUAUCAGCUUGUUGGUGGGGUAGUGGCGUACCAAGGCUUUGACGGGUAGCCGGCCUGAGAGGGUGACCGGCCACAUUGGGACUGAGAUACGGCCCAGCCUCCUACGGGAGGCAGCAGUGGGGAAUAUUGCACAAUGGGCGGAAGCCUGAUGCAGCAACGCCGCGUGCGGGAUGACGGCCUUCGGGUUGUAAACCGCUUUCGCCUGUGACGAAGCGUGAGUGACGGUAAUGGGUAAAGAAGCACCGGCUAACUACGUGCCAGCAGCCGCGGUAA
RNAcentral lists this ribosomal RNA (484 nucleotides) under uncultured bacterium. Its description in RNAcentral is "partial 16S ribosomal RNA". It matches the Rfam family "Bacterial small subunit ribosomal RNA", at positions 28 to 523 of the family's 1533-position model. The record is from RNAcentral.